CAGUCGCCGCGGGAAUACAGAGGGUGCGAGCGUUAAUCGGAUUUACUGGGCGUAAAGCGUGCGUAGGCGGCUUCUUAAGUCGGAUGUGAAAUCCCUGAGCUUAACUUAGGAAUUGCAUUCGAUACUGGUUAGCUAGAGUGUGGGAGAGGAUGGUAGAAUUCCAGGUGUAGCGGUGAAAUGCGUAGAGAUCUGGAGGAAUACCGAUGGCGAAGGCUGCCAUCUGGCCUAACACUGACGCUGAGGUACGAAAGCAUGGGGAGCAAACAGGAUUAGAUACCCCUGUAGUCCCUGUCUCUUAUAC
RNAcentral lists this ribosomal RNA (301 nucleotides) under uncultured bacterium. Its description in RNAcentral is "partial 16S ribosomal RNA". It matches the Rfam family "Bacterial small subunit ribosomal RNA", at positions 509 to 807 of the family's 1533-position model. The record is from RNAcentral.